AAAGCGUGCGCAGGCGGUUUUGUAAGACUGUCGUGAAAUCCCCGGGCUCAACCUGGGAAUGGCGAUGGUGACUGCAAGGCUAGAGUUUGGCAGAGGGGGGUAGAAUUCCACGUGUAGCAGUGAAAUGCGUAGAUAUGUGGAGGAACACCGAUGGCGAAGGUAGCCCCCUGGGUCAAAACUGACGCUCAUGCACGAAAGCGUGGGGAGCAAACAGGAUUAGAUACCCGAGU
RNAcentral lists this ribosomal RNA (230 nucleotides) under uncultured bacterium. Its description in RNAcentral is "partial 16S ribosomal RNA". It matches the Rfam family "Bacterial small subunit ribosomal RNA", at positions 562 to 791 of the family's 1533-position model. The record is from RNAcentral.